This 465-nucleotide ribosomal RNA is filed under the name Vreelandella stevensii. RNAcentral's name for it is "partial 16S ribosomal RNA". It matches the Rfam family "Bacterial small subunit ribosomal RNA", at positions 338 to 795 of the family's 1533-position model. Lineage: Bacteria; Pseudomonadati; Pseudomonadota; Gammaproteobacteria; Oceanospirillales; Halomonadaceae. The record is from RNAcentral.
CCUACGGGCGGCAGCAGUGGGGAAUAUUGGACAAUGGGCGAAAGCCUGAUCCAGCCAUGCCGCGUGUGUGAAGAAGGCCUUCGGGUUGUAAAGCACUUUCAGUGGGGAAGAAAGCCUUGGGGCUAAUACCCUCGAGGAAGGACAUCACCCACAGAAGAAGCACCGGCUAACUCCGUGCCAGCAGCCGCGGUAAUACGGAGGGUGCGAGCGUUAAUCGGAAUUACUGGGCGUAAAGCGCGCGUAGGCGGUCUGAUAAGCCGGUUGUGAAAGCCCCGGGCUCAACCUGGGAACGGCAUCCGGAACUGUCAGGCUAGAGUGCAGGAGAGGAAGGUAGAAUUCCCGGUGUAGCGGUGAAAUGCGUAGAGAUCGGGAGGAAUACCAGUGGCGAAGGCGGCCUUCUGGACUGACACUGACGCUGAGGUGCGAAAGCGUGGGUAACAAACAGGAUUAGAUACCCCAGUAGUC